GCCUAACGGCUGAACUGGCAACUUGGAGAAGUGGCAAGUUUUAUAAUUAAUAGUAAUUUAUAUUUCUAUUUUUAUAAAAUUCUAUUAGAAUUGAAUGAAGCUUUGUUUAUAUAUUGAUAAUGACAGUAUAUAUAUCGUGUCUUGACCAAUUACGUGCCAGCAGUCGCGUAAUACGUAAGAGACUAGUGUUAUUCAUCUUAAUUAGGUUUAAAGGGUACCCAGACGGUCAAUAUAGCUUCUAUAAUGUUAGUACUUGACUAGAGUUUUAUAUAAGAGGGCAGUACUUGAGGAGGAGAGUUGAAAUUCCGUGAUACCAAAGGGACUCUGUAAGGGCGAAGGCGGCCCUCUAUGUAUCAACUGACGUUGAAGGACGAAGGCACAGAGAACAAACAGGAUUAGAUACCCUAAUAGUCUUUGUAGUAAAUGAUGAAUGCCAUAGGUCAGAUAGAGAUAAUAUUUGGACUAUAAAUGAAAGUGUAAGCAUUUCACCUCAAGAGUAAUGUGGCAACGCAGGAACUGAAAUCACUAGACCGUUUCUGACACCAGUAGUGAAGU
This 555-nucleotide ribosomal RNA is filed under the name Thelonectria westlandica. RNAcentral describes it as "SSU rRNA". It matches the Rfam family "Bacterial small subunit ribosomal RNA", at positions 374 to 938 of the family's 1533-position model. Lineage: Eukaryota; Fungi; Ascomycota; Sordariomycetes; Hypocreales; Nectriaceae. The record is from RNAcentral.